UACGAAGCAAUCCCACAUAGUACUUUCAUCAUGGACAACUAUAGGAACCGCUUCCGUACAUCAAUUGUGCUACUCUCGAUGCUUCUUCUCAUAUGCUUUACUGCCCGUGCGCAAUGCAGGGUCCUGGAAGACAUGGAAACCGUUAAGAUCAAUAUACAUGGUCUAUGCGUCUGUGAUCCGAACUGCAAAGACUCGAUGUGCAUAUGUUGUUUAGCAAAUAAAUACUGUUAUUCUACAGUGGAUUAUUGCAUGGAAGACUGUCCAAAGACUUCUCCAUCAGACCAAGCAGCGAUGAAACGUUCUCCAUCACCCUCUUAUCCAAUCUAGUCAUAUGGACGCUGAUGUGCUCAUGAAUAAUUUAUUAUGAUAAACUAUGUCGUAAUUGUUUUGCUUUUCAAGAGCUGAUAAGUUAUAUAUCAAUCUUCAUUAUGA
Molecule: long non-coding RNA, 432 nt
Organism: Triticum dicoccoides
Lineage: Eukaryota; Viridiplantae; Streptophyta; Magnoliopsida; Poales; Poaceae
Exons: 2
Source: RefSeq, a predicted model, not a curated record